GUAAUACAUAAUCUUACUAAUAGAACUGCAAGAAUUUGCUUUUUGCCUACGUCAGACUUUGUUAAUACACCACAGAAUCGAUCGUGUUUGGGUGAUCUCAGAGUUCUGCGGUCAAGCCACAGCUGAGGUCCAAGCAAUCAAUCAGUUCAUCUUCUAGGAGUCUCAAAGUUACUCAACUGGCUAUUUUGGUACUUUAAUGUAAUGUUAUCUUGCUGUUACUAUGUGGAUGAGCCACUCUCUUAAUAGAAAAUAUUCACGUUCUGAUGAUAAAUUUUCUAUCAGACUUUGAAAGCAUUUCUAUAUUUGAUACUUGGAGUUGAAUUAUAGUCAUGCUUCAUUUUUGUAUUAUCAUCAUACUUUAUGCUGUGAAAAAUUGAGAAAUUAAAAAUGAGUAGCCAAGAUCACUUCCCUUAAUGGUGAUGUGAAGAGGUGAUUCUCUUUCUGAAUAAAACAAGCGUAAAACUGGGUGAGAUUGUCCAAAAUGAUCGUUUCUGGGCCCUGGAAACCUACCAAAAAGGCAGAUGAUAAAUUGAGAAGCGUUAUUGAUACACUGAAUCUUUGGAUAUGAAGAAUAGGGGUUGUGGCCUUCUCGCAUGGGGGGCUUCUUCUGUCUCCUUGCCCACUAUCUCAGUAUUGUCGAGCUGCUGUUUUAUCAGACAUGAGAGACUCAAUUUGAAGUGUGGGUAAAGAUUGCAGUUAAGAAAUCACAGCGUUCAGCAUGAGCCACCACACCUGGCCUCCACUUCUUAAUUCAAUCCCCUCUCCUUGGUUGGAACAUUUAGGUUGUCCCUAGUUGCAUGCUUGGUUCAUCUGGACAUGCUUAGGUUACAUGAUGUUCAACCUGGGGGCCCAUGGCAACUGAAAAACAACUCACAACUUUGUUACAGAAGAGAGGAACCAAACUGGUCUGAUGUGGUUAGAACAGCAGCUUUAGCUGUGAUUGAAAAUUGAAACUAAUGUAUGUGUCUGUCAGCAGAUGAAUGGAUAAGCAAAUUGUGGUAUAUCUGUAGAGUGGAAUAAUACUCAGUAAUGAAAAGGAAUGGACUGUUGAUAGGUACAGUGACAUGUAUGCAUUGCAAAAUAAUAGUAUGCUAUGUGAAAGAAGCCAGACACCUUUCCCUACAAAAUAGCAUACUGAUUCCAUUUAGGUGAAAUUCUAGAAAAUGCAAGCUAAUCUGUAGUGACAGUAGAUCAGUGCCUGCAGAUCAGAGGAUGGCUUGGGAGAGGAGGGAGAAAGGGAUUCCAAAGGAAAGAGCACAAUGAAACAUUUGGGGGUGAUGUAUAUAUUCAUUAUUUGAUUAUGCAUGAUGAUUUCAUGGGUGUAUACGUAUGUCAAAACUCAUCAAAUUGUAUAUUUAAAUAUGUGCAAUUUAUUGUAUAUCAACAGUAACUCAGUAAAGUUGUAAAAACUAUGCCCAUUCAAAAAGCAAACAGAUGUUCAUACUAUUCACAGUAGACAAAAACUGGAAACAAUCCAAAUCCAUCAACUGGUGAAUAGAUAAACAAAAUUUGGUAUGUCCAUAUCAGCCACGAAAAGGAAUAAAAUUCUGAUUCAUGGCACAGGUACAUACUACAAUAUGGUUGAAGCUCAGAAACAUUAUACCAAGUGAAAGGGCUCUGUAUUGUAUGAUACCAUGAUAUGAAACUUUUACAACAGGCAAACCUUAGAUCAGAUCAGUGCUUUGCCUGGGUGUGGGGUGGCAGCAUGGAGAUUGGUUUUAAACAGGCACAGCAGAACAGUUUGGGUGAUGGAAAUGUUCCUGGUGAUAGUUGUGUAUAAAUUGUAUGAAAAUGUGUGGAAUUGUAUGCUUAAAAUGGAUAAUUUUCAUGACAUGGAAAUUAUACCUCAAGAAAGCCACUAAAUGUGGGUGGCCAUUCAGAAUUUCAAAUUCGCUUUAAGAUGACCAUUCAGGCUGGGCGCGGUGGCUCAUUCCUGUAAUCCCAGCACUUUGGGAGGCCAUGGCGGGCAGAUCACGAGGUCAGGAGAUCGAGACCAUCUUGGCUAACACAGUGAAACCCUGUCCCUACUAAAAGUACAAAAAA
This 2043-nucleotide long non-coding RNA is filed under the name Macaca fascicularis (crab-eating macaque). Its description in RNAcentral is "lncRNA (ENSMFAG00000055608.1)". Lineage: Eukaryota; Metazoa; Chordata; Mammalia; Primates; Cercopithecidae. The record is from RNAcentral.